CGCUGGCCCCGCCCCUCAGAAGAAAGGGGCGCUGGCGGGGGAUGUGUUUGUGUUUACCCGCGUGUGGCAAGGCUUGUUUCGGACCAGAGACCCCGUGUUUGGAUAGCAGGGCUCCCACUGAGCCGCCCGACGGCGGGCAGCGGCCUGUGGCCACUGUUUAG
Molecule: long non-coding RNA, 161 nt
Filed under: Mustela putorius furo (domestic ferret)
Lineage: Eukaryota; Metazoa; Chordata; Mammalia; Carnivora; Mustelidae
Description: lncRNA (ENSMPUG00000030815.1)
Source: RNAcentral